AUAAACAUUACUUUAAUUUUUCAUAUGCAGUCCUUUCCUGCUUCUAGCCAUCCCUGUUGCAACUUGGUAAAGAUGACCUACAAAGGGACAGUACUCCUGAGCCUGAAGGAAUAUAGGAAGGGAGACAUCAACCUGAGACGCACCUACCAUAGACAGUGGAACAUAUACGACUGCUUAAAUAAGGAGUAACUCUCUCUUGUAACUUUAAGAGGUGAGUCACAGAACCAUUUAAGUUGUACAAGUGUAACUCAGAAGAAAAACAGUUCUAAAAUAAAUAAAUUCACAGGCCUAUUUUCUAUUUCA
This 303-nucleotide long non-coding RNA is filed under the name Coturnix japonica (Japanese quail). Its description in RNAcentral is "lncRNA (ENSCJPG00005010368.1)". Lineage: Eukaryota; Metazoa; Chordata; Aves; Galliformes; Phasianidae. The record is from RNAcentral.